GACGAACGCUGGCGGCGUGCCUAAUACAUGCAAGUCGAACGAACCGCGACUGAGUGCUUGCACUUGGUCAAGGUGAGUGGCGAACGGGUGAGUAACACGUGGGUAACCUACCUCAUAGUGGGGGAUAACAGUCGGAAACGACUGCUAAUACCGCAUAGGACAUGGAAUCACAUGAUUCUGUGAGGAAAGGUGGCGCAAGCUAUCGCUAAGAGAUGGACCCGCGGUGCAUUAGUUAGUUGGUAGGGUAAGGGCCUACCAAGGCGAUGAUGCAUAGCCGACCUGAGAGGGUGAUCGGCCACAUUGGGACUGAGACACGGCCCAAACUCCUACGGGAGGCAGCAGUAGGGAAUCUUCCGCAAUGGACGCAAGUCUGACGGAGCAACGCCGCGUGAGUGAAGAAGGUCUUUGGAUCGUAAAGCUCUGUUGUUAGAGAAGAACAGCGCAUAGAGUAACUGUUAUGCGUGUGACGGUAUCUAACCAGAAAGCCACGGCUAACUACGUG
Molecule: ribosomal RNA, 502 nt
Filed under: uncultured bacterium
Lineage: Bacteria
Description: partial 16S ribosomal RNA
Rfam family: Bacterial small subunit ribosomal RNA
Source: RNAcentral